Molecule: ribosomal RNA, 493 nt
Filed under: uncultured bacterium
Lineage: Bacteria
Description: bacterial SSU rRNA
Rfam family: Bacterial small subunit ribosomal RNA
Source: RNAcentral
AGACGACGCUGGCGGCGUGGAUUAGGCAUGCAAGUCGGACGGUAGGGCUUUAUUGUAAGAUAGAGUUUGAGAGUGGCGAACGGGUGAGUAACACGUAGGAAUCUACCCUUAAGACGGGACAACCCAGGGAAACUUGGGCUAAUACCGGAUGAGAGUGCGAGAGAUUGCAUUUAAAAGGAUGGCGAAAGUUGUCGCUUAGGGAUGAGCCUGCGGUCUAUUAGUUAGUUGGUGAGGUAAGAGCUCACCAAGGCGAUGAUAGAUAGGCGGCCUUAACGGGUGGUCGCCCACACUGGGAUUGAGAUACGGCCCAGACUCCUACGGGAGGCAGCAGUCGAGAAUAGUCUACAAUGGCCGGAAGGCUGAUAGUGCGACGCCGCGUGAACGAGGGAGCCCUUCGGGGUGUAAAGUUCUUUUCUAUACGAGCAGUGCUAUAUAUAUGGAUAGUAUAUAUAGAGGGAUAGUAGUAUAGGAAUAAGCAACGGCUAACUCCGUG